RNAcentral lists this ribosomal RNA (750 nucleotides) under bacterium. RNAcentral's name for it is "bacterial SSU rRNA". It matches the Rfam family "Bacterial small subunit ribosomal RNA", at positions 45 to 790 of the family's 1533-position model. The record is from RNAcentral.
UGUCUUACACAUGCAGUCGAACGGUAACAGGGAGCUUGCUCCGCUGACGAGUGGCGAACGGGUGAGUAAUACAUCGGAACGUGUCCUGUAGUGGGGGAUAGCCCGGCGAAAGCCGGAUUAAUACCGCAUACGAUCUACGGAUGAAAGCGGGGGAUCUUCGGACCUCGCGCUAUAGGGGCGGCCGAUGGCAGAUUAGCUAGUUGGUGGGGUAAAGGCCUACCAAGGCGACGAUCUGUAGCUGGUCUGAGAGGACGACCAGCCACACUGGGACUGAGACACGGCCCAGACUCCUACGGGAGGCAGCAGUGGGGAAUUUUGGACAAUGGGCGAAAGCCUGAUCCAGCAAUGCCGCGUGUGUGAAGAAGGCCUUCGGGUUGUAAAGCACUUUUGUUCGGGAAGAAAAGGACUGGGCUAAUAUCCUGGUCUGAUGACGGUACCGGAAGAAUAAGCACCGGCUAACUACGUGCCAGCAGCCGCGGUAAUACGUAGGGUGCAAGCGUUAAUCGGAAUUACUGGGCGUAAAGCGUGCGCAGGCGGUUUGUUAAGACAGAUGUGAAAUCCCCGGGCUCAACCUGGGAACUGCAUUUGUGACUGGCAAGCUAGAGUCUGGCAGAGGGGGGGUGGAAUUCCGCGUGUAGCAGUGAAAUGCGUAGAUAUGCGGAGGAACACCGAUGGCGAAGGCAGCCCCCUGGGCCAACACUGACGCUCAUGCACGAAAGCGUGGGGAGCAAACAGGAUAAACCCCCCGGG